UUUGUUGAACUGAAUUUAUGAUGUUUAAGUUAGUUAAGCUGAAUCGACUUAACAAGACGAAGCUUUGUUAAGUCGGUUUAUGAAACGAGUUAAAAAUCAUGUUUUUUAAGUCGUUUGCGGUUAACUCGGACACAGAACCAACUUAAAAUGUACAUUUAAACCGACUUAAAAUUUCAAAGAUAAAAUUCUACCAUAAACUCAAAUAUCCUUUACCAAGAGAAACCAUUUUCCAAAGACCAAUAACUUUCCAAAGUUUCUAGAGAUAUCGCGUAUGACUUGGAUUUUAAUUAGAACAUCCCCUUAGACAGAAUGACCCGACCAUGUAGGAAAUUUGUGCAUGAUGCAUAAUGAGUGAAAUAUUCAUUUUCUAAAAUGAAAACCACGAGAAGUUUACCCUCUAUACAAGGUUUGCGCAAUGCACUGAGAAGAAAAUCAAAAGAGUUAUGACGGGCUUAACAUUGAGAUCAUUAGCAUGAUUGCAUCGACAUUGAGAUCACAUCGGAGUGGAUGAAGUUGAAUGUAUGAUUGCAUCGACAUUGAGAUCACGUCAGAGGGGACAUAGGGGAAGAUGGCGUCUGAAUCCACUAGACACACGAAUUCAAACAAACGAUGGCGGACCCUGUCCAUAUAUUUUACAGACAUCUAAUAAUGAUU
Molecule: long non-coding RNA, 654 nt
Filed under: Cicer arietinum (chickpea)
Lineage: Eukaryota; Viridiplantae; Streptophyta; Magnoliopsida; Fabales; Fabaceae
Description: long non-coding RNA (CARI_LNC003324)
Source: RNAcentral